AUGAAGCUGCAGGCCCAGUUAUUGGAACAACACAAAAUAUUAGAUAACAAAGCUAAGGAUCGUAGGCCUAACACGUAAUGAUUCUAUUUAUUUGCUUUUAUUCAUUCGUGUUUUGUAGCUCAAAUUUUGAGUCUUCAAGCUCAGCUAGGGGAAAAGAACAAAUUGGAACGGAACAGUUUCCAAACAGUGAAGGAGGUUUUUCAAAAUUCAUCUCUAACUGAACAUGAGGAUGAGUUGGCAUUAGGUGAACACAGCCAGUUAUUCAGUCCACCACAUGACAGUGUGUUAAAUUUAAAUUCUGUUAGUGCUGCACUAAAAGAAUCGUUAGUAAUAAGCUCAUGCAGUGAAGGAACUGAACAAUUGUGGGAACGUAUUUGGGCCGAAAAUGGGUGUGGUACAGAAACCCAGAAAUGGCACAAGUUCAACAUGAAACAUGGAUUAGAUUUUAACGGGGGAUCAAAUCAAGUCUGGAAGUGUUACAGGAUGGAAGAGUGAGCCUACAGAUGAAAAAACACUGAGAGUGCAUUACCGUAAGGUGUGAGUACAACAGCAAUCCUUUAUAGUUCUGUCACAGCUAGAAGCCUCAAAUAAUUCUGCUUCUCUGUCUAAAGAACAACUUGUCCUUUAUGUUCAGAGUGUUGGGGAAACUGGGUACUUAAAUGGCCCUAAAGAUGUUUUAAUUUUGCUGCUAUUGCAGAGAUGAACAUCAUACAUGGACUCUUUAGGUCUUAUCUACCAAAAAAAAUUUUAUCCAAUAGGAAAGGAUUUUCAUGUACUGGGAACACAACUAUCAACAAUGCAACAUUCUACAGGUGCUAGUUUAUCAUUCAAGAGCCUUAUACAAUGAAGUUAAUCUGCAAUUUGUAUGUCCUUUCCCAAGCUUCCACCAGAAGUUGAAUCUAUGAGUCAUGUAAGUUCCAUGAUCAACAAUUGAUGUGUUUAACGGUGUUGUUUUUCUUUUCUCAAUAUAGGUUAAUAGUAACAUUGGAUCUGAAAAGAUUCUUGGUUGGGGCAAGACACUGAAUAAAUUGUAUUGAUUGGAUGGAUGACAUGACAUUGCUAUACUUAAUUCGGAUUCCCCAGACGGUAUUUGAUAUUAAAAAAAUUGAAGUGCAUAUCUGGGCUCCCUUCUUUUCUGAAGCCCCGUUUCCCCUUGACUCAUAAUAAGCCCGUAGGGGGUCAUGCCCCUACUGUACGGUAUAUAUAAAAACAACAUAUACCGAGGUUUGGAGGGCUCUGGCCGGAAAGGGGACGUGGGGUGCCGCUUCGUCCGAUGAUGUGUUCACGGAGGGUGACGUGGCUGCCCACAAAUCCGAACUAAAGGUUAAUCGCUCCUGUAAAAAUGUUCCAAAUCUUCAGCUCUU
Daphnia carinata is the source of this 1364-nucleotide long non-coding RNA. RefSeq lists it as uncharacterized. NCBI's taxonomy places the organism in Eukaryota, Metazoa, Arthropoda, Branchiopoda, Diplostraca, Daphniidae. The record is from RefSeq and is a predicted model, not a curated record. The transcript is spliced from 5 exons.